Molecule: non-coding RNA, 97 nt
Organism: Mycena olivaceomarginata
Lineage: Eukaryota; Fungi; Basidiomycota; Agaricomycetes; Agaricales; Mycenaceae
Source: the annotation of a GenBank genome assembly
UCGGACGUGGUGCAUGGUGCACGCCACUUGAGAGUGUUUGAUAUUUGAAUUCGGAGAAUUUCUGUGAAAGAUCUGGGUUCGACUCCCAGCGUCCGAA